AAUAGGGAAACGUUUGACCCAUCCUCUUCCUCCUAGUACACCAUCUUCCACGGCUUCUUUGCCACCCGCCGCCAUUGCAAGGAAUUUACUACACAGUACUGUACUAUAUAGCAGUCAUUUUAAGAAUAAUAACAACAACGCGCAUUCUUAAAAAGUAACAUUAACCUGACCUUAGCGAUGAUAGAUGAGCCGCACUGCUCACUUUUCUUAAACUGAACUGCCCCCGAAAAUGUACCCCGUGCCGUCCAAUCUCAGCGUCUUGUUUACGCAGAAGAAAUAUCUCUUGUGUUCAGUGAGGUUUACUCUCACUUCUAGCAAGUGCGCAUAGGUUUGCAGUCUUAGUCUGACAGUUUAUGAGAAAAUGUUUCAUUGGUGAGGGAGGGAAGCACCUGUGGAAGCGGCUUCCCCGCCGGGGCUGCUUCAUGUUUCUGGAAAGAGAGCAGAUCGGUCUCCUCUCAAUCCCUAAACAUGUUUCCUUGUGAGCUCCGCUGAACUAAAAGGGGUUUGCUUCCAAAUCGGGGUGCAAGUGGAAACGUCCAAACAAAUAUGUCCACCUUCAAGGAACACAGUCCACCAUUUUCUCUGCCCUGGCAAGGAGACAGGAUGGCGGAAUCGUCUGCCAGCUGACAUGGGGGUUGGGUGGGUGGUGGAGAGGUCCAUUGAUAUGAAGCUAAGAAGCAAGAAGGAGUUAAACUGAGCAGGGAAAUAGAGUUAAGAAGGAAUUGAGUACUGUAGAUAUAGAUAUGUAUAUUAUGCGAGCCUUGAAUGUCACUGAAAAUGCGCUUUGCAGCCUUCCGUCCUAGGAGUGGAACCGCAGACUGUGCAUUCUGACGGCUCUCUCUCUCUGCUACCGAGAUGCGGACGUGAACUUUCUCGGGCCGCCACACUCCUUUCGCGUCUGCCGGGCUCAGCGACCCACUUUGAGCCAUUUUACGCGCCUACCCCACUCGCUCGCGCUUCUACGGACAGCUAAGCACUUUACGGAAGAGACCUCGAAGACGCGGCUCUCGGAAGAAAACGCAAGCAAUUCUGAGGAACAGCCACCUAGGAGAGAUGCCAGCCUCCCAGAACAACAACAACAAAAUGGAUUGGCUGUUUGGUUGUUUUUGGAACAGUUGCCAGAAGAGCAAUGGGCAAGGCCAAUCUUCCCCACUGAGUUUUGUCUAGGACGAGGACGUCUUAGAUGAAUAGGCAGAAGAAUACAGCUUUUGCAUGGAAUUUUGUCCUUGGAUCCCCCAAAACCACCAAAGAGUGCAAGCUUCAUAAGAAAGGAACAUGUGCUCUUUUUCUUUCAUAUGCAAUGCUGUCAUGUGCAAUGCACACUGAUGAGGUAAUAUUAAUAGUUGUGUAAUUAAUAGUUGCAUUCUUCCUACCCCAAGGAGACUGCACUUAAUCUAUGGGUGAGGCCUUGACAGUCUGAUCACUCUUAAAGCUGGUGAAUGGUGACCUACAUUUCUUAUAUAGCUAUGAAACUUACUGUAAACGAUACAAGCCAUGUUUGGGUGCUCACUCUCACAUGAUGUACGAUGGUAUGAGGGGCAAAGUGGGGCUUCCCCACUCAUCCUGCCCCUACUGUCCCAUUCCCACUACUUCUGUGUGAAGGGCACUGGAAGCCUUUGGCUGCUGCUGCUGCUGCUGCUGCUGCUCCUCCUCUGCUCCAGUCUCAGCAAGUCAAGUUGUGGCUGCACUGACAAGAGCAUCAAGUUUCCACUCUGUAGGCCAGAGCUGGCUCGUGGGUCUGGGUAUGUGUGAAAAAGAAGGUGUGUUCCAGCUGGCCCAGAUCCAGGCAGCGAGUUGCGAGCACAGAUCACACUGGGCGAGGAAAGAGGGGAGUGUAGCAUAUUCAGACCAAUAACAAGCAAGGAGCUGAAGAAUACUAUGUACAUACACUGGAUUGUUUGAUCUCUCUCUCUCUCUCCUCUCCCUUCCAACCAUUGGAGACCGUGAAGCCUGUUGCUAUGAGCCUGCUGCAUUUGAAAAUUAGCUCUUAGGGCAGGGCGGCGGCUUUAUGGGAAUUGGGAGUGGGAAAAUAACCUAAGAGGUGGAAGCUUGGCUCUUCGCUAGGACUUUGGCUGGCAAAUUCUAACUGAACAUUGCAAGAGUAAUCACUUCGCAGGUUCGUUUUAACAGGAAAAGAAGGCCUUCCCUGUUCCUCACACUCUGGUCAAAUUCUUUCUUUUUUAUGCUCUCUAGCUGUACACCAUUAACAUUUAGAGAGUGGGUUUUAAGUGUACUCCAUCCACUCAGUCCUGGCAAUUAAAAGCAAGCUGAAAGUGCAGAGUGCUUGAGAACAGGAGACCUGCUGAAAUAGGCCCAUCGAGUCCAGCAUCCUGCCCUCACAUGCAUGACAAGAGCAUAAUGGCACUCUUGCCAUUUGUGGUUCCUAGCAACUGGUGUUCAGGGACAUACUGCCUCUCAUGCCUGAGCUGCGUGACUAGUAGCCACUGACAGCUUUAUCCUUCACGAAUCUGUCCAGUUCCUUUAUAAAGCGAAUUCUGCCACUAAAUCUAAUACUAAAUAUAGGGUAGUGAAUUUCAUAGUUUACCUAUGUGCUGCACGAAGCAGGACUUCCAACAUGCAGCUUCAUUGAAUGGCCUUGUCUUCUAGUAUUAUAUGAGCAGAGGAGUGGGCAAAAAAUCUCUCUAUCCACUUUCUCUACUUUUAUACACUUUACUUGCAUGAAAAAUUACAAGGUGUUGUGUCCCUGUUGCUUCACUUGCCAACCCCCGCUGUCAUGCCCCUGAGCUUUCCCUUCCCACCCCACACAACUGCAGAGCUCACUUCUCAUCUUCCCAGUACCAUUUCUAAAGCCUCUUCUAUUAUGCAGCUCCACUUUGCACCCAUUUUCACCUUCAUCCCAUGCCAAUGCCUUCCCCCUCAUUUUGUGCAACCCCUCCUAGCACACAAACCGCAUCCAUGGUAACCUCCUGCAUCUUCCUUCUCCCACAAAUUGCAACUACUAAGCACCCUAUUCUUGACCCUUUCGUGCCUCUGCUUUCAUCUUCAACCCCAUUCCAAUGAUUCCAAAUCCCACCUUUUGGGCAACCUCCUUUGCACCCUAGUUUUCACCUUUACUCCUUCCCCCUCCCCCCGCACUCCUCCUAGCUUUUCUCAAUUCUCCCUUGCACAUAGUAAAGGUAAAGGGACCCCUGACCAUC
This is a non-coding RNA of Podarcis muralis (Common wall lizard), 3158 nucleotides long. The record is from RefSeq and is a predicted model, not a curated record. NCBI's taxonomy places the organism in Eukaryota, Metazoa, Chordata, Lepidosauria, Squamata, Lacertidae.